RNAcentral lists this ribosomal RNA (253 nucleotides) under uncultured bacterium. RNAcentral describes it as "partial 16S ribosomal RNA". It matches the Rfam family "Bacterial small subunit ribosomal RNA", at positions 524 to 776 of the family's 1533-position model. The record is from RNAcentral.
UACGGGGGGGGCAGGCGUUGUUCGGAAUUACUGGGCGUAAAGGGCCAGUAGGCGGCCAACUAAGUCGGAUGUGAAAUCCCCAGGCUUAACCUGGGAACUGCAUCCGAUACUGGAUGGCUUGAAUUCGGGAGAGGGAUGCAGAAUUCCAGGUGUAGCGGUGAAAUGCGUAGAUAUCUGGAGGAAUACCGGUGGCGAAGGCGGCAUCCUGGACCGACAUUGACGCUGAACGGCGAAAGCUAGGGGAGCAAACGGG